UAGGGAAUCUUCGGCAAUGGGGGGAACCCUGACCGAGCAACGCCGCGUGAGUGAAGAAGGUUUUCGGAUCGUAAAGCUCUGUUGUUAAGGAAGAACGAGUGUGAGAAUGGAAAGUUCAUACUGUGACGGUACUUAACCAGAAAGCCACGGCUAACUACGUGCCAGCAGCCGCGGUAAUACGUAGGUGGCAAGCGUUGUCCGGAUUUAUUGGGCGUAAAGCGAGCGCAGGCGGUCAAUUAAGUCUGAUGUGAAAGCCCCCGGCUCAACCGGGGAGGGUCAUUGGAAACUGGUUGACUUGAGUGCAGAAGAGGGGAGUGGAAUUCCAUGUGUAGCGGUGAAAUGCGUAGAUAUAUGGAGGAACACCAGUGGCGAAGGCGACUCUCUGGUCUGUAACUGACGCUGAGGUUCGAAAGCGUGGGUAGCAAACAGG
This 430-nucleotide ribosomal RNA is filed under the name Bacteroidota bacterium. Its description in RNAcentral is "Bacteroidetes bacterium partial 16S ribosomal RNA". It matches the Rfam family "Bacterial small subunit ribosomal RNA", at positions 355 to 776 of the family's 1533-position model. Lineage: Bacteria; Pseudomonadati; Bacteroidota. The record is from RNAcentral.